Long non-coding RNA from Jaculus jaculus (lesser Egyptian jerboa), 158 nucleotides. RefSeq lists it as uncharacterized. The record is from RefSeq and is a predicted model, not a curated record. The transcript is spliced from 8 exons. NCBI's taxonomy places the organism in Eukaryota, Metazoa, Chordata, Mammalia, Rodentia, Dipodidae.
AGGAGCCAUCACUGGUGCUAUUGGACCUAUAAUGCAAUUCACAGCACCUAUCCCUGGAGCUACAGGACCUAUCAAGCUCUCUCAAAAAACCAUUGUGCAAACUCCUGGACCUAUUGUGCAGUACACGGGAUCCAGUGCCGAAACUCCAGAAACGACCC